CUUCACCGACCCGAGCAGCAGCGGCCGUUCGGCCUCACGGUCCUGGCCGUACGUCGCCAGCAGCGCCUGCGCCUC
This 75-nucleotide antisense RNA is filed under the name Streptomyces sp. yr375. RNAcentral describes it as "ASpks TB sRNA". It matches the Rfam family "ASpks TB sRNA". The record is from Rfam by way of RNAcentral. Lineage: Bacteria; Bacillati; Actinomycetota; Actinomycetes; Kitasatosporales; Streptomycetaceae.